Molecule: long non-coding RNA, 171 nt
Organism: Cervus elaphus (red deer)
Lineage: Eukaryota; Metazoa; Chordata; Mammalia; Artiodactyla; Cervidae
Exons: 3
Source: RefSeq, a predicted model, not a curated record
CGGGACGUCCCUGGUGCUCCGGUGCUCCAGAUCCUGGUUCAGACCUUCGCAACUGUGUAUAAGAAUCCGCCUGGGGACACGAGUUUGAUCCCUGAUCUGGGAAGAUUCCACACACCUUGGGGCGACUAAGCCUGCUCACCACAACUGCUGGGCCCGGGUGCUGAGACUCCU